UACGUAGGGGGCAAGCGUUGUCCGGAUUUAUUGGGCGUAAAGAGCGUGUAGGCGGCCAGGUAGGUCCGUUGUGAAAACUCGAGGCUCAACCUCGAGACGCCGAUGGAAACCAUCUGGCUAGAGUCCGGAAGAGGAGAGUGGAAUUCCCGGUGUAGCGGUGAAAUGGCGCAGAUAUCGGGAAGAACACCCGUGGCUAAGGCGGCUCUCUAGUACGGUACUGACGCUGAGACGCGAAAGCGUGGGGAGCGAACAGG
RNAcentral lists this ribosomal RNA (254 nucleotides) under uncultured bacterium. RNAcentral's name for it is "partial 16S ribosomal RNA". It matches the Rfam family "Bacterial small subunit ribosomal RNA", at positions 524 to 776 of the family's 1533-position model. The record is from RNAcentral.